AACGAACGCUGGCGGCAUGCCUAACACAUGCAAGUCGAACGAGACCUUCGGGUCUAGUGGCGCACGGGUGCGUAACGCGUGGGAACCUGCCCUUAGGUUCGGAAUAACUCCCCGAAAGGGGUGCUAAUACCGGAUAAUGUCUUCGGACCAAAGAUUUAUCGCCUUUGGAUGGGCCCGCGUUGGAUUAGCUAGUUGGUAGGGUAAAAGCCUACCAAGGCGACGAUCCAUAGCUGGUCUGAGAGGAUGAUCAGCCACACUGGGACUGAGACACGGCCCAGACUCCUACGGGGGGCCGCAGGGGGGAAUAUUGGACAAGGGGCGAAAGCCUGAUCCAGCAAGGCCGCGGGAGUGAUGAAGGCCUUGGGGUUGUAAAGCUCUUUUCCCCGGGAUGAUAAUGACAGUACCGGGAGAAUAAGCCCCGGCUAACUCCGU
This 432-nucleotide ribosomal RNA is filed under the name uncultured bacterium. Its description in RNAcentral is "partial 16S ribosomal RNA". It matches the Rfam family "Bacterial small subunit ribosomal RNA", at positions 29 to 506 of the family's 1533-position model. The record is from RNAcentral.